UUAGCAAUCUCAGAGCCAGGUG
RNAcentral lists this unclassified non-coding RNA (22 nucleotides) under Mus musculus (house mouse). RNAcentral's name for it is "oocyte_clustered_small_RNA2336". The record is from RNAcentral. Lineage: Eukaryota; Metazoa; Chordata; Mammalia; Rodentia; Muridae.